AUGUCAACUCAAAGGAAAAUGGAAAUAACUGCAGACCUUUGGCUAUGGCACAUGAUAAUAACUGUCUCAACCUUGAAGUACCGACGUCCUCUUUCUGUGGAAGAGAUUCGUACAAACAAGGAGCGGAGAGAGGAACCUUGGCACAGGUUUCCUGACCAACACAAAAACACCAAGGACAACCAGCCAGAACAUCAAGCGCCUGACCACCCCGUGGCUCGGAGGCCCAGUAGACCAGGCAGCAGAUUCACACCUCAAAAAGCUAUGAACCAAUGAAAGAAAAAGAGCAUCAGCAUAGCUGAGUCAACACAGAUGCUCCAAAGUGACAUUUGGAUGGCUGUAAACAUUUUUUCUUGCUGAAGUAGACAAUGCCUCAAAGAGUUUUGAUAGAGGGAUGCUGUUCACUCAUGGACGAUGUGCCUGACAGGUGGUGGCUUACAGAUGUGCUGAGCUAGAGGAGAAUCUACUUGAAUCAAACGUCAUAUUCAUAUAUGCUUUGAGACACUAAACAUGUUCUUGAUGUCUUUUCGGAAAGAAUGUGCUCUAAAGUCAAGGGUCUGUGUAUGUGUGUAUGUGUGAGUAUGCUUGAUUGUUCUCGCAGGUUAAGAGCAAGAAUAUGUCAUAUGUUGCAUAUCAUCUGCUAUACCAAAACAAAUUACUGCAUGCUCCACAUAAGGCAUGCAGAUGGAAAUAACAUCAAAAAAAUAAAUAGACAUUUUCACUCUUGGUUAACCAAUGUCUCAAAACAGCUUUAGAUCUAAUCAUAUAGUAACAUGGGAACAAUAACAGCAUAAAUUAAAAAUAAUGUCUUUUGCUUAACAGGUGUGGUUAGCAUUGUUAAAUCUAUAUUUUUUUAAGGUGUCAUAUGUUUUAUAUGGAAAUAAAUAAGUUUAACUGCUGACAGGUUAUUUUAAAAAAUUAUUUUUACUAAAUAAUUUUAUUCUUUCUCAUGGAUUAUUUUGCCUUGUUGGAGCAGCACCCGUAAGAGCAGAUAAACUGUGGAAUUGUGGUUGUUACAGCGAACACCUCAGACCCUCACUCCUCAGUGAAGGGUUGACACAGGCCAAAAGCUGCAGCCUCCCGACUUUGUCUUUCUUUCUUUUUCCUUUUAUAAUUGCGAUUGCUUGCAUAAGUUCGAAAUAACCUUUGUAUCAGAAAAUGCUGUUAUCACCCAUCGUAUAAAACAUCUACCUCAAUGCUGUGAUUGUUUCUCACCAGAAGCUUGGCCCUGUAAGAAUGGUGACUGUGGUCCAUGUUUAGUCCAGGGUGAUGUGUACCCUGCCGUCGAGUCGGGUGAAGCUAUGAGUUGUGGUCCUUGAAAUAGCUUGACCUGAUUGUCAUUGUUCUUCUACAUCCUUGAGGUCUUUUGUGUGUGUGUGUGUGUGUGUGUGUGUGUGUGUGUGUGUGUGUGUGUGUGUGUGUGUGUGUGUGUGUUGCGCGCAUGCACGCGUGUGUUUGCAUGUCAGUCUGCUCAGGCCCACUUUAGUGCCUUCAUGGCACGUCAUUUUGUCAAGUUAUGCAGUCUUCAAUACAAACAGCUACAAAUAAUGGUACCUGACCUUAAUCAACAGGUAAUCCAUUGUUUAACAGUUUAGUGGCACCAGCCACUAUGUUUAGGAAAACCCACAUCUGUAUUCACUUAUAAGCCUAUUGUUCAGAAAUCACAAAGACAGCAAACAGUUCUUUCCUUUCCUAUGCACAUCAGUGUCCAUAAGUUACCUUCAGUAUCUGUUAAUAGAUUGCACCACCUUAUUACAUUAAUAAACAAGACUGAGUAUGAGAGCACCAUCACAGAAAGACAUGCAUUUCUCUUACUUACACUUCAAGGUCUGCCUGGUGGAAGCAGGACACAAUCGUUAUGUUCUUCUUAUGUUACUUUUCCCAUUUUCUUUUCAUUUUUCCACUAUUUUUGAUAAAUAAAUAUUUAUACAUCAGUGUUCUGAUAUUUUCCCAC
Long non-coding RNA from Electrophorus electricus (electric eel), 1951 nucleotides. The record is from Ensembl. Lineage: Eukaryota; Metazoa; Chordata; Actinopteri; Gymnotiformes; Gymnotidae.